Anguilla rostrata (American eel) is the source of this 1123-nucleotide long non-coding RNA. RefSeq lists it as uncharacterized. The transcript has 3 exons. Lineage: Eukaryota; Metazoa; Chordata; Actinopteri; Anguilliformes; Anguillidae. The record is from RefSeq and is a predicted model, not a curated record.
UUUGUUGGUCAUUCGCGGGGGUUUCUGUUUUGAGUUCUAUCCUAUUACAUACAUUAAGUCAAAAUAUCCAUGAAAUCCUUUAUCAUCGUGAUGUAUAAUAAGGCUCGAUCGUUGCGAAACGUCCAUUAUUUUUGUGAAAUCAAGAAGGAACACGUCUCUUGGUCAUGUUACACUGGAACACUGCACCACGUGGAGUUAAAGGGCAACUCAUACCGGCCAGACCUCUCUGCUCCACAACCUGGGAACAUCUGACUGACCACUCUCUGCUUGGCAGUUUAGCUGCUUGUUCCAGCCAGGAUACCUGUCUGUACGGGCCGCACAAUGUUAGUCUCCUUGCUGUUGAAUAUUCUAGACCUACCACCGUCAUGUCAUCAGCAAACUUAAUGACAGUGAUGGAGUCAUGCUUGGCCACGCUCAAGGUGCAUAGGGAGCACAGGUGAGGACACACUGCUGAGGGGCUCUCAUAUUGAGAACCAGUGGGGAGGAGGUGAUGUUGCCCAUCCUCGCCACCUGAGGAUGACCCUUCAGGAAGUCCAGGAUCCAGUGGCACAGGGGAGUGUCUACACUCAGGGCACUGAAGUUGGUGAUGAGCUUAGAGCUCUAUGGUAUUGAAGGCUGAACUGUAAUCAACAAACAGCAGUCCUGACAUAGGUGUCCCUCUUAUCCAGGUGAGUGAGGGCGGUGUGCAGCUCAGUGGCAGUUGCAUCACCUGUAGAUCUGUUGGAGCAGGGAGUUGGGUAGUAAGAAGCAGAUGGAGUCUUUGACCUGCCUCUCAAAACUUCAGCUUGGAAUGGACGUACGUGUGACUGGACGGCAGUCGUUUAUGUAUGUCAUCAUUGUUUUUUGGUAUAGGAACAGUGGUAGACAUCUUGAAGCAUGUGGGGUGAGAGGUUAAAAAUGUUUGUAAAGACGCCGGCCAACUGAACACAUUCUGAAACACAGCCUGACGUGCCAUCCAGACCAGCUUCCCUGCAUAAAUUCGGUCACUUGAAGGGCCUGUGCACAUCAAAUUCAGAGAACAAAAGUAUACUGACAUCAUGGGUAGCAGGUGCACUCCCAGGGAUAACAGUGUCAUUUACCAGAAAGCAAGCAUGAAAGGUGUUUAGCUAAUCUGUUUGAGAUG